This 443-nucleotide ribosomal RNA is filed under the name uncultured bacterium. Its description in RNAcentral is "bacterial SSU rRNA". It matches the Rfam family "Bacterial small subunit ribosomal RNA", at positions 29 to 513 of the family's 1533-position model. The record is from RNAcentral.
AACGAACGCUGGCGGCAUGCCUAACACAUGCAAGUCGAACGCCUGUAGCAAUACAGGAGUGGCGCACGGGUGAGUAACGCGUGGGAACCUGCCUAGUGGUAAGGAAUAACCGCGGGAAACUGCGGCUAAUACCUUAUGAGCCCUACGGGGGAAAGAUUUAUCGCCAUUAGAGGGGCCCGCGUCCGAUUAGCUAGUUGGUGAGGUAACGGCUCACCAAGGCUCCGAUCGGUAGCCGGUCUGAGAGGAUGAUCAGCCACACUGGGACUGAGACACGGCCCAGACUCCUACGGGAGGCAGCAGUGGGGGAGUAUUGGACAAUGGGGGCAACCCUGAUCCAGCAAUGCCGCGUGAGUGAUGAAGGCCUUAGGGUUGUAAAGCUCUUUCGACGGGGAAGAUGAUGACGGUACCCGUAGAAGAAGCCCCGGACUAACUUCGUGCCAGCA